AUGGCAAAGGGGGCCCCAUCGCAAAGAGGGGGGUGCUGGAGUCACUGGGGGGCUGGGCCUCCGGCACUCUGGGGUGCAGCAGUCAGUGGGAAAAAAGAUCAAUUUCACCUGCAGAAGAAGGGGAGCAGGGAUCCUUCUUCACCCGGGGGACAGACGGGGUGUCUCAGGGCGGAAUCCUGCUCCUUGGCCCCGGGAGCGGAGGGCCAGAUGGGUUGCUCCAGGGGUCCUGAUCCUUCAGCGGGGGGGACUACGACGACAGAUGCGACUCCAGGUCCUUCACCCCGCCCCACGGGGCCCCAGGAAGGCCCCGAGGGGGGUCGGCGAGGCGCAGUGGGGCCGACUCGGUGUCUUCAGCGCCUCGCUCCCCGGCGGGCGAACAGCAGCAGCGCCGGACGGUGCCCUCUCAAGCCCAUCAAGAAGUCUGGGAAAACGGAGCAGCUAAAAUACUCUGGGAGGACGUUCUGUUCCUGCUCAGGGACUUGCAGCCCCAGCAUGUUGGAAGAUGUCACUCCAGGUUCAGGAGGUUGGUUGGUUUCUCCUUGGGUCCUCUGCUGUCACGUGGCUCCUGUUCCAGCAUCUGAGGAAUCUGCUCCCUGAGGCCAUGUUCGGUGAUGAUAGUCUCGCUGGCUCUGACUCAAUAGCCAGUAGCUCUGCCAGGGGGGUCACGGGGCACCAGCCUGGCCUUUCCUCAGCUUUCUCCCUGCUUGCCCCACAAACUGGGUGGCUGGGGGAGUUACCAGCUGGUUUUUUUCCAGGGAGCCUCUUUGGAUGAGCCCCCUUAGCUCCUACCUUCUGUCCAGGCAGAAAUAAAAAAC
This 815-nucleotide long non-coding RNA is filed under the name Pelusios castaneus (West African mud turtle). RNAcentral describes it as "lncRNA (ENSPCEG00000004417.1)". The record is from RNAcentral. Lineage: Eukaryota; Metazoa; Chordata; Testudines; Pelomedusidae.